GGUUAUAUUCAUAAGUAAAUCAGAAGUCAAAAGAAUUAAUUUAAAUAAUUAUUCAUUUAGUCUAAUAAUAUAAUAAUGAUUAUUGGGGUAACAAUAAAACUAAAAACAAAAAUGGAUUAGUACCCAUGUAUUAUCCUUAAAUUCUAUAAUAGUAAAUGUAAAAAUUAAAAUCUCAUGGCUGCGACUAUUAAGAAUUAUUAGAGAAUUUUGGAAAACAAGUUGAUAUUCCCCAAUUUUAUUCACUAUUUAAAGUAUAUUUAACGUAUGGCUGUGUUAAAAUUAUUUAUAUAAUUUUUUUAUCAAGUUACAUGUAAUUAUAAUAGGAAUUUCUAAAAUGCAAUUUAUAUAUAAAGUUAUAAAUUAACUAUUUUUAAUAUUUAAUAGUAGGAGGUGCCCGCCUUCGAAUUUCUUCUUAAAGGGGUUCAAAUUGUCCGUCAUUC
RNAcentral lists this ribosomal RNA (440 nucleotides) under Halicyclops sp. 5 IK-2020. RNAcentral describes it as "partial small subunit ribosomal RNA". Lineage: Eukaryota; Metazoa; Arthropoda; Copepoda; Cyclopoida; Cyclopidae. The record is from RNAcentral.